Molecule: long non-coding RNA, 843 nt
Organism: Rhinopithecus roxellana (golden snub-nosed monkey)
Lineage: Eukaryota; Metazoa; Chordata; Mammalia; Primates; Cercopithecidae
Exons: 4
Source: RefSeq, a predicted model, not a curated record
GAGAGACUCUGCCUUUUCAACACGAUGGCUCCUCCCGCUGCUGCUGCUGCUCCAGGAGACAGGUUCUCAUGCAGGAAUGAAAGACAUGGAGGGGAAGAGGGGGGCCAGCUCCCUGAGUCCUGUGUCCACCAGCUGCUGCUAAAUACCUCUCAGAAACUCUGCUUCUAGCUAAGGGGACCUACUUCUCUUGGGAAUCUCAAUACGUGGAACAAGAACCUCGUGGAUGGACCCUUUGGCAAAAUGAAUUGGACCAACCACAGGUUCCAGGACUGGAGAGCCAGCAAUGCCUCCCUAGACAAUUACUCUGCUCAGAGAACAUCACCACCCUGAAGCCAGAGACUAACCCUGAAGGACUCAGCAGCCUAAGCACAGCAGCCACAGGCCUUUCUGGCUCCAUUGCUGCGGUGGCCCUCAUCUUGCUCCUGGUGGGUCUCUUGUCCAUGACCCUGAAGAAAUGGAGGCAUGAGAGUGAGUUGAACAAGUUGACCCUGGAACUGGGAAUGAAGAGAAGAGAAACUGGGGGCAGAGACUGGGGUGUCUUUCCUAUGGGCAGCCUUGUCGGAGUAGGGGGCAGGUAGUGGGAGGGUAAUAUGAAGGAGAUACGAAGAUAAGACCUCUUCUGUAGAGUUGUUGGGGACUCUGUGCACAGCAAUAAGACUUACUCAUCACACAAGUUCUUCACACUGAAAGCGAUAUACAGUAUAAGCCGUCUGCAUAUAUGAUUAUGGUCUAUAUGCCUCAGCUAAAAAAAAUAUUGAUGCCAAAUAAUCUCUUCUAAAUAAUAAACAAAAUUAUAAAUUAUAAAGUUUACUCAUUUCCCCUGUGUCUUCCUGGGAAUUUAAC